GACCCAGGGCCACACUGCAGCU
This 22-nucleotide unclassified non-coding RNA is filed under the name Mus musculus (house mouse). RNAcentral's name for it is "oocyte_clustered_small_RNA5010". Lineage: Eukaryota; Metazoa; Chordata; Mammalia; Rodentia; Muridae. The record is from RNAcentral.